This 433-nucleotide ribosomal RNA is filed under the name uncultured bacterium. RNAcentral's name for it is "partial 16S ribosomal RNA". It matches the Rfam family "Bacterial small subunit ribosomal RNA", at positions 29 to 507 of the family's 1533-position model. The record is from RNAcentral.
AACGAACGCUGGCGGCAUGCCUAACACAUGCAAGUCGAACGAGACCUUCGGGUCUAGUGGCGCACGGGUGCGUAACGCGUGGGAACCUGCCCUUAGGUUCGGAAUAACUCCCCGAAAGGGGUGCUAAUACCGGAUAAUGGCUUCGGACCAAAGAUUUAUCGCCUUUGGAUGGGCCCGCGUUGGAUUAGCUAGUUGGUAGGGUAAAAGCCUACCAAGGCGACGAUCCAUAGCUGGUCUGAGAGGAUGAUCAGCCACACUGGGACUGAGACACGGCCCAGACUCCUACGGGAGGCAGCAGUGGGGAAUAUUGGACAAUGGGCGAAAGCCUGAUCCAGCAAUGCCGCGUGAGUGAUGAAGGCCUUAGGGUUGUAAAGCUCUUUUACCCGGGAUGAUAAUGACAGUACCGGGAGAAUAAGCUCCGGCUAACUCCGUG